This 253-nucleotide ribosomal RNA is filed under the name uncultured bacterium. RNAcentral describes it as "partial 16S ribosomal RNA". It matches the Rfam family "Bacterial small subunit ribosomal RNA", at positions 524 to 776 of the family's 1533-position model. The record is from RNAcentral.
UACGUAGGGUCCGAGCGUUGUCCGGAAUUAUUGGGCGUAAAGGGCUCGUAGGCGGUUUGUCGCGUCGGGAGUGAAAACACGGGGCUUAACCCCGUGCCUGCUUCCGAUACGGGCAGACUAGAGGUAUGCAGGGGAGAACGGAAUUCCUGGUGUAGCGGUGAAAUGCGCAGAUAUCAGGAGGAACACCGGUGGCGAAGGCGGGUCUCUGGGCCGAAACUGACGCUGAGGAGCGAAAGCGUGGGGAGCAAACAGG